Molecule: transfer RNA, 66 nt
Filed under: Arion vulgaris
Lineage: Eukaryota; Metazoa; Mollusca; Gastropoda; Stylommatophora; Arionidae
Description: tRNA-Ala
Source: RNAcentral
UGAGAUAUACUUUAAAAAGAAGGAUGUAGUUUGCAACUAUUCAGUGAUAUAUAGUAUCUAUUUCAG